UACGUAGGGGGCAAGCGUUGUCCGGAAUCAUUGGGCGUAAAGGGCGUGUAGGCGGCCAGAUAAGUCCGCUGUGAAAUCUCGAGGCUCAACUUCGAGCUGUCGGUGGAAACUGUCUGGCUAGAGUCCGGAAGAGGAGAAUGGAAUUCCUGGUGUAGCGGUGAAAUGCGCAGAUAUCAGGAAGAACACCCGUGGCGAAGGCGGUUCUCUGGGCCGGUACUGACGCUGAGACGCGAAAGCGUGGGGAGCGAACAGG
Molecule: ribosomal RNA, 253 nt
Filed under: uncultured bacterium
Lineage: Bacteria
Description: partial 16S ribosomal RNA
Rfam family: Bacterial small subunit ribosomal RNA
Source: RNAcentral